This 254-nucleotide ribosomal RNA is filed under the name uncultured bacterium. RNAcentral's name for it is "partial 16S ribosomal RNA". It matches the Rfam family "Bacterial small subunit ribosomal RNA", at positions 524 to 776 of the family's 1533-position model. The record is from RNAcentral.
GACAGAGGUGCCGAGCGUUAGGCGGAAUCACUGGGCUUAAAGCGUGUGUAGGCGGACGGGUAAGUACCUUGUGAAAUCCCACGGCUCAACCGUGGAACUGCUGGGUAUACUGCCUGUCUUGAGUCAUCUAGGGGCGAGCGGAACAAAUGGUGGAGCGGUGAAAUGCGUAGAUAUCAUUUGGAACGCCAAUGGUGAAAACAGCUCGCUGGGGAUGAUACUGACGCUGAGACGCGAAAGCGUGGGUAGCAAACAGG